RNAcentral lists this transfer RNA (72 nucleotides) under Candidatus Nealsonbacteria bacterium CG23_combo_of_CG06-09_8_20_14_all_38_19. RNAcentral describes it as "tRNA-Val". It matches the Rfam family "tRNA". From Rfam's summary of the family: Transfer RNA (tRNA) molecules are approximately 80 nucleotides in length. Their secondary structure includes four short double-helical elements and three loops (D, anti-codon, and T loops). The record is from RNAcentral. Lineage: Bacteria; Candidatus Nealsoniibacteriota.
GGGCGUGUAGCUCAAUGGCAGAGCAUCGCGUUUACAUCGCGGGGGUUAUAGGUUCAAAUCCUGUCACGCCCA